This 247-nucleotide ribosomal RNA is filed under the name uncultured bacterium. RNAcentral describes it as "partial 16S ribosomal RNA". It matches the Rfam family "Bacterial small subunit ribosomal RNA", at positions 523 to 769 of the family's 1533-position model. The record is from RNAcentral.
AUACGGAGGGUGCGAGCGUUAAUCGGAAUUACUGGGCGUAAAGGGUGCGUAGGUGGUUAGAUAAGUUAGCUGUGAAAUCCCCGGGCUUAACCUGGGCAGGUCAGCUAAGACUGUUUGACUCGAGUAUGGGAGAGGGUAGUGGAAUUUCCGGUGUAGCGGUGAAAUGCGUAGAGAUCGGAAGGAACACCAGUGGCGAAGGCGGCUACCUGGCCUAAUACUGACACUGAGGCACGAAAGCGUGGGGAGC